Molecule: ribosomal RNA, 252 nt
Filed under: uncultured bacterium
Lineage: Bacteria
Description: partial 16S ribosomal RNA
Rfam family: Bacterial small subunit ribosomal RNA
Source: RNAcentral
UACGAAGGGGGCUAGCGUUGUUCGGAAUUACUGGGCGUAAAGCGCACGUAGGUGGAUAUUUAAGUUAGGGGUGAAAUCCCAGGGCUCAACCCUGGAACUGCCUUUAAUACUGGGUAUCUCGAGUCCGAGAGAGGUGAGUGGAAUUCCGAGUGUAGAGGUGAAAUUCGUAGAUAUUCGGAGGAACACCAGUGGCGAAGGCGGCUCACUGGCUCGGUACUGACGCUGAGGUGCGAAAGCGUGGGAGCAACAGGG